Suricata suricatta (meerkat) is the source of this 112-nucleotide small nuclear RNA. Lineage: Eukaryota; Metazoa; Chordata; Mammalia; Carnivora; Herpestidae. The record is from Ensembl.
GGGCUCGCUUCGGCAGCACAUACACUAAAAUUGGAACGAUACAGAGAUUAGCAUGGCCCCUGCGCAAGGAUGACACGCAAAUUCGUGAAUCCAUGAAGGUUUCCAUAUUUUA